UACGUAGGGAGCAAGCGUUGUCCGGAAUUACUGGGCGUAAAGGGCGCGUAGGCGGGAUAUUAAGUUAGGUGUGAAAACUCCGGGCUCAACUUGGAGACUGCACAUAAAACUGGUAUUCUUGAGGACAGGAGAGGAAAGUGGAAUUCCUAGUGUAGCGGUGAAAUGCGUAGAUAUUAGGAGGAACACCAGUGGCGAAGGCGACUUUCUGGACUGUAACUGACGCUGAGGCGCGAAAGCGUGGGGAGUGAACGGG
Molecule: ribosomal RNA, 253 nt
Filed under: uncultured bacterium
Lineage: Bacteria
Description: partial 16S ribosomal RNA
Rfam family: Bacterial small subunit ribosomal RNA
Source: RNAcentral